Molecule: long non-coding RNA, 5860 nt
Organism: Scophthalmus maximus (turbot)
Lineage: Eukaryota; Metazoa; Chordata; Actinopteri; Pleuronectiformes; Scophthalmidae
Exons: 2
Source: RefSeq, a predicted model, not a curated record
UAAAAGAGAAAAUGGUCCAAAACAUUCUUACUAAUGUAAAUAGAAAGUGAUGUACAUUUUUCUACAAAUAAGUCCUUUGGUUUUUCAACCCAAAAAGUAACUUGUGCCAUUCUGCAAAGCAGUUCCUUUUCUGUAAUGACACAGAGGAGUAAACUGUGUCAGUAGUAGUAGUAGGAGUAAACAGGAGGAUUGAUCAUUUUAAAAUCUUUGUCUUUCUUCAAAAUGUUCAACCAGUCAACAUCACAUUGUCUGAUUGGUACAAAGUCUGUUACAAAGCCUCAAAGAUCCAAAAAUGGACGUCUAGUAGACUGCUAACAAAAGUAGCAGUUUUUCGUCCUGGAAAACGGGAUAAAUUAUCAUAAAAGUCAUUAAAUGUUGGAUUUAUCAUCAUGGACAUAUUGUAAAAAGUCUCCAAAAAAACACUGAAGUUCCAGGCCAAACUUCAAAUAUUCUGAAAGGGCCAUGGAAUCGCACAGAGGCCCUGCCCAGAAUGGCGCAAAUGUGAGCUUCUCGUCAAAACAAACAGUAAGUUGCCGGCAUUAACUGAUCAAAUGCUAUGAGAACCUUUAUAAUAAGAUGCAUUUCCUGUUGUGUUCACUGCCAAACUUUGUGUGCGUGGUAUAUAUCCAGAGAACUUUAUACAAACAUCAAAAAAGACGAUUUUGGGCUUUUUCAACCGAGGAGGGUUAGGGGCUACUUGCCCAACCAUGUCUGGGUUCUACUUAGUACUGCUCAGCUGUUUCCAGUCAGGUUCAACAAUGGCACAGUUUCGUUAGCUGACCGGUAACAAAGUGGCGUGUACCCCCUCAUGUGAGAGGUGACGGAGAAAUGAUCCCGGCGUAUGUCUUACCAGCCAUUGUCUUCUCUGGUCGGGAUGGGUUGGAAACCGGUGAAAAACUUAUUACGCCAUUAAAUUUCGAUGACGCUGAACAAAGUGGGACACAGCAGUGCUCUGAGUACUUCUUCAUCUGUUUUUGAAAAUGUCCUGUUUGGAAGUUUUCCUGCGUAGACUCAUGACAAAACUCUGAAUGAAGCAGUCACAGUAGCGGUAAACUUUUGUUAAUGUAGUCCAUUGCAUUGUGCUGGAAAAGUAUGGAGGCUCCAUCAUUGCAAAUGUGGAUAAAGGAACUUUCAGAUAGUAUUGGUCUUGAAAGACUGCUGACAUUGCUAAGGGAAAGCGAAAAUACCUUUUUCACCUUCUGGAACCAUUUAUGAGCAGCAUCAGCGAUGGAAGUUUUAGGCAACAAACAGUUUUUAGUUUAGUAAUUUAUCUAUUUAUUUUUACUGUAUUUUUAAUUUAAUUUAAAUGAAAAUGUAAUUUAAUUUAAUUGAUAAACUGUCUGUUUGUGCUAGUUGAGUGUGUGUUUGUGAAUAGGGGUCUGUGUCUGGGAACUGUCUGGUUUCAAAUGGUUGUAUUGUUACUGUAUGCUGUAUGAUGUUGUGUAAAAAAAAAUUUAAAAUGAUGAACAGAUUUGACAAAAAAACUAACUGAUUUUUCAGAUUAGUUUCACGCAAUUUAACCUUUUAACAGUGUGGGUAAAUACAAAACAAGUUUGUUCAAUUUUUGAGACCAACCAAAAAGUUGAUUUUGAGUUUUUCAUGAUGUUAGAUGUGGAUUGAUGAGUCUGAGACACCGUGAGCCUGAAAGGCACUCCAUUCAAAUCAUUUGUUCAGCAGCUCAGAGCAACUUGACAGUCAACUGAUGAUUAAUUGUCCUUGUUGUCUGUGCCUCAAGGGGCUGCUUCAUCAGUUUCAAACAUCCUGUUAGUUUCCCUUUUAAAUUGAGUCAAACUGAAUCAGCCUGAAGUUUGUUGAAGUUCGAACCAGUCAGGUUGAGUCAGCUCCAGCUUUCCAGCUUUGAUAAGUUGCAUCUGAGCCAUAUUCUGUUUCUUAACUCUCCUCGAGUUGCAUACUUUUCCAAUAUACAUAGCAGCAGUUUGAGGAGGUUAAAUGUAAGGCUCUUCUUACAGGUGAAAUCAACAUUAUCUGGAGGAUUCCACAAGGCUUGAGAGUGUUUGUUUCCGCCAGCUGUGGACUAUGUGGCAAUGACCUGAAAGUCCUUGCAGUGGGAUCAGCGGUGGCAGGCUACUUUAAAGCUGUUGUGCUCUCCUUCAAAGCCCCAGCAGGGCGCUGGUCUCUGAGCUGUACCACCGGCUGGCAGGGGCUCAGGUCUCUCUAACCCUGAAAAUCCUCAUGACGAUCGAGCAAUGCUUUACUCUCCUCACUCUCUUGCGAAGCGAUGAGCCGCUUGGAUUGAAUUAUGACUGUACCCUGGCUUUGAAGGAAACAUCAAAGGUUAGUUUUGGAUGAAGAGUUAACACCUUCUUCACCCUAUUAAAGAAAAAGAAGACUGUUGUCUUUGUAUAUAAUCAUCUCCUGAUUUUCUGAAGCUCUGUGGUGUCAAGUCGUUCUUUUUACUUUUGUGUAACAUAUUUGAGAGUUAAACUCUCCCACAAAUGAGCAGGAGCAGGUAGCCUCAAGUGAAAAAUUGGGAUUGUCGAUUAUUGAGGGAUUAGUAUCGCUCCUCUCACCAAGCAACCAACCAAGCAACCCAAUAAUCACUCUAUUUGUUUUCCAGUUUUCCCCUUUUUUUCUUUUUUAGUUUAAUGUGGAUACUUGUGUUAUGUGGGUGAACAAUGGCGUCUACCCCCCGAUUUUUUCUUACAAAAUCAAUAAAAUUCAAGAGAAAAGUGUCUUAACAUACAUCAAAGGCUAAAAACAAAUAUCAGACACACAAAUACCUCACGAUACACACAAGCAGAUACACACACACUCUGGCUGAGGUCCCAAUGCCACAGGUAAGAAUAAUAAUCUCACAAGACAGUAAAGAUAUAAAAAUGUCUGAAGUUAAUGUACAGUAAUGCAAUUGAUGUGAUUAGAUAUUAAAGCAAGAAUCUGUUGUUCACUCAGCCAGUGAAAUUUGAACAGACCAAAGCAUAGUGGGAAAAAAAUAUGGAUUUUAAGCCAAAACUUGAUAAACUCAGCCACAACCUCAGUGGCAGUAUAUUCCAAAAGAAAGAUGUGUCGCCACUAGCAGUUCCUCCUCGCCAAGCCUCUGCUCACCUCUGGCCAAAAAGGCUCUGCUCCCCCAUCCUCACUAACAACAUCAGUUUGUUCUAUUGCUAUCUUCAAAGUAUUAUUUGUUAAAAUUGUAAAACUCUUAGCAAACCAGCCUCCAGAGAAUGCAAAGGGUGUGAUUAAAGUAUAUGGACUAAUCAGAGAGAGACCACACUAGCAAAUAUCAGCUUAAACAAGCACUUCAUGACAAGUCUGUGGAGUUAAGUGCAUCUGACGUGAGGGGUGAUGAAUUAAUAAAGACAGCCAUUUAGGGUAAGAAAAUGAAAAUGUUCUUCCUAUUGAGUUUGUCUUGAUGCUGAAGGAAACCUCAUGGGGUGUCUAAAAUGUAAAGAGUUUGUGAAGUCACACAUGGUUGAUGUGCACAUGAAAUAUUAUAUAAUACUUAGAUAUUUACAACUGAUGCACUGUUGUGCAUGAUGCGCAGGGCAGCCAUACGUAGUUAAAAGCAAGUAUUUCUCUUCCCUUAGAGGAUAGGUCAGACGUUAAAUCAGAAUGAAGAAUUAUGAGGUUUUGUUUUUUUCUUGACCAAAUUGUUGCAUAGACAAAAUGACCAAUGCUGCUAACAGGGCAACAAAAGGAGAUACACAAACCCGGGAGGGGGAGGCAGAGGAAGAGUUGUGAAGUCAGUAGAGCUGGGGCACUGAGUCAGCAAUAAAGCUGGAGUGUGCCUGCUGAUAUACUGCAGGACUCCACUGGGCUACGGCCUCAUAAGCCCACCACACCCCCUCGGGUCAGGAUCACACAGGGCUAAUACAUGUUAAAUGGCGCUUAAUUCUUUUGUUAUACAUCAUUUCGAGUUGUUCAGAGGUGUUUUUACGCUUAUCACUCGCCAUCUGCAGAUCGGUGUCACAUCAGUGUCUGCGUGCGCUAACUCACACGGUGCUGAUGUGAUCUGUGAAGAAUUGGGCCAAAGGAAAAUCGCAGCAGCUAAUAUGAUGCACAGACAAAAGCUAAUUCUUUUAGUGUUGUGCAGCAAGGAACAGGACGAGGCUUUGUGGUCAGUGAUAGAGGACUGGGAGGCAUUUUAUGGACUAUAAAGGUGAUUCUGUUGGGAUUGUGGAUACCUGGCUCUGUUUAUGGUCCACUCGUCAUAUGCAGGAUGGAAUGUGUGUGCUGCUUGUCCCCUCCUUUGCUCUCUCAGUUUAGAUUGUGCUGCUGGCCGGGCCUGACUACCGGUUCCUGCCCCUCCCACCAAUCACCUGCUACUGUAUAUAAUCUCCGGAAUGAUCACCACUUCCGUACCAGAAUGUGACCUUACCUCUUGACUCUCAGUUCCCCAGCACUAGACUCUGGAAUUCCCCUUUCCCUUCGUGAUUUCCUGUGCCAUUUGGUUUGAUAGGUUUGGGUCUGUUAGCCUCUUUAUUUUUUGUACAUUCUUCGUUCAUUCACUUAUACGCAGAUCUUUGUAAGUAAAUAUCCCUUUGAUUCUUAUUUUUAACUUAUCCUUGCGUCCUGCUCUGUAUCUGUAUUUUAAGUCCUGAACCAUUUGCCAGCCUGACAUGAACUGAUUUCAUUUCCAAGAUGGAAAACCCCCAAACUAGUCACAAUAAUAGAAAAUAGCCUCCUCUUUUUGACAAGGUUAAUGUACAUUUCAAGUACUUCCCUUUACGUAGGUUGAAGCUUUUACAUGGCUUAGGAAAAGUUGUAAAGAACUCAAAAAGCAUUUGGUUUUGUUGGUCGUGAGGUUUUGUGUUGAGCCUACUGAGCUCAUACUGCCCAGAGGAGAUUUAUUGGGUUAUAGCCCAACUUUUCCAAUAUACGACAUACAUAAAUGAGUUACAUGUACAUCAUUACUUUCACCUCCGUUUACUACGUACAUGGUUUCUUUGUAUUUUGUUUCGUUCUUUAUUUUGUCUGCCUCCAUUUCUUGCCGCAGGAAAUAAUCGGGAUGCUGCAAACACAGAACAAGUAAUGUGAUGAAUUCAGCAUAAUAGGAAAGGAAACUUUAAUCUGGCGGACAAAGUUAUUGCGGUGAAUCAAGUUCAGACUGUCAUGUCUUAAGGCCUGAUCUUUGUCUCCUUAUAUAGUCAUCCUGUAUUGUACUAUUUUUUGUCCCUUUCAUCAGUGAUAUUUGUUUUUAAUGUUGUAUUCAUGAUGUUUGUUUGUAAUUUUUUAACUGUUGCAACCCUAUUUCCCCUCGGACGGGUGUCAUCAUUGCCUUUUAUUAUUAUUUCUCUCUGUUUCACAAUAAAUGGUAUUUUUGUUUGAAGAUGUUUCACAACAAAAAGCCUCCGAGCAAAGAAUCUGGAGACAGAUCUGAAAACGGAACACAUGCAGAUCAGUCAUGAUGAUGAAUAAUGAUAUACAAUGUCAACUGUGUCUCUGCUUUGUCAAGUCUAACAAAAUAACCCUGAUUAUGUAACAGUGAUGUCAUCAGGGUUCUCUUUGACAGAGAUGACAAAUUUCAUGACCUGCGUUACAAACUUUGGGCCUGUAGAUGUGGGCAUUUACCAGGGAUGAAGGGAUUAACAACACGUGCUAUAGGUGCUACACAGUUCGACCCAUAAGGGUCAGAAUAUGUCAGCCUCUUCAGCUUCAGUUGUCACGAUUUUAAAAAAAAGUCCUGUCUAUUGAAUGUCCCUUAGCGUUAUUAAAGUAUAAAUGGAACAAAUUUGAAAAGAGGGAGACUUUAUAUAAGCUUAAAAAACCUCAUACCUGAAUAAAGGUCAGUCUCAAAUAAAAGCCCUCACUUGUCAAAUUCUAUGACUAACACAAUUUAAUGCAAUGGAGCAUGACAAUGUUUCUUGAAAUAUAAUAUAAUAAAAUAUUUUGUGCAAAAAGA